This 2836-nucleotide long non-coding RNA is filed under the name Sparus aurata (gilthead seabream). RNAcentral describes it as "lncRNA (ENSSAUG00010010951.1)". The record is from RNAcentral. Lineage: Eukaryota; Metazoa; Chordata; Actinopteri; Spariformes; Sparidae.
AAAACAUCCAGUCACUCUAUUGUGACAUUGGACUUGGCUGUACACUGCAUCAUGUCUGGUCCGCCAUGUGAUGCUGUAAUGUGUCCAUCAGGCAGAUCCAGUCCUGGCUGACAUCGAGACGGUUUGUCGGGGUUUGGAGCAUGAGACACCACAGGAACAUCCACAGGCACCGACACAUGUCAGAGAAAAUCUUUACUUUGUUUGUCUAUUGGAGGGGUUUCAUGUGGGUGUGUUUUUUGUGUGUGUUUUUUUUUACCAGUGUUGUUUGUUUGUUUCAGACCAGUCCUCCACUGCUUCUAAAUGACGUUUCAGCCCCUCCAGCAGAGGUGAAUGAAGAAUAACAACACUUAAGACUCCUGAUCUUUUUCUAAAGUUUAUUGUUGAACAAUUCUUGAUCUUUGUUUCCCCUUAAUGGUGACGGUCACAUGUACAAACGUCUUCAGUGUUUGAAUGUGCUGUUAUUUUCAGGGACCAGCUUUAGAGAAUAUCUUUAGUCCACCAGACUCUUCAUCAGGACCUUCACACCAGGUAAAAUCAACAAAACCGUAACACCUGAAUGUUUUAAUCCACACUGUCUUACAGCACAAUGAGGGAUGAUUUGUCAUUCAUAUCCAUUAACAGUUCUGCCACUUUACUGUUGGUUGAUGACUGUUUGAUUGAGAAAACUGUUUUAUUAAACACAGACUAUAGUGUUUUCUGUUUCUCUGCCUACAGGCUUCUUCCACGAAUGAGUUGAUGGAAAUCUUCUCCCCCAAGAUGGAAUCACCAAUGGUGCCCAGCCAGAGUCUAUGUACCAGUCAGCCAGAGUCUCCACAGCUCUCCUGCCCUCCAACGCUCUCCAGCUCUCAGAUCCUCUCCAUGUUCCCCACACAGCCAGUGGGGGGCUCUCCAUACUCCUCUCCUACCUACCCCCCCACCAACAUGCCCUGGGGCCAGCAGGGGCUUGUGGGUAAUCAGUGGGCAGGCCCUGCUGGGGCGCCCUGGCCCCCGGUGCCAAAUGGUAUGCAAGCAUGGGCACCAAUUGGCCUCACAGCGCUCCCAGCAGGCGGCCAGGUUCAGGGUCACGACUCUCAGCCGGGAACCGUUAGUGGAGGAAACACACCCACCUCACCCACUGCUGUCAACGAGUGUGUCGACCCGUUAGACUCCCUCUGGACUGGUCUUGGUGCCUCUGGAGCAACAGUACCAGUGCAGCCAGCGCCCCCCACCUUAAACCAGAAUCUGAUCUGAUGAUUUGAAAAAUUGUUGAUGUGGUUUGGAUUUUUUGCUGAAAAAAAAUUAAUAGAUUUCAAAUGAAAGGACAAGUUCAGCUAAAAGUGUAAAUAGACUCAUUAUGUACUCAACCCUAUGGUGAUAGAAAGCUGGGAGUCAAUAAACAUUUCUGGAACUUCACAGCAGAACAGCGGUGCAGCCCCAACAACUGAUGUAGAUGGGGACUUGUUUUAAAAUGUAAAAUGCAGGAAUACAGUCUGCGGAUGCCCAAAUUGAUUUGAAAAGAUGUUAUUUAAAUCCUCGACGACUUCAUUGAUAUGAUUGCGCUUUUUGCUUUGUAGCUACAAUGAAGAUUUGGGCUUUAAAGCGGGUGCAAAUAACAUCUUUUAUUAUUAAUUUGGGAUCUGUAGGCUUCAGAGACUUGGAUUAUGGAGCCUUUAUGGGUUAUUUAGUGCAGUUAUCCACAUCUACUUCAGCUGUUCAGGAGAACACUGCAACACUGUUUUGCUGUGAAGCUCCAGAAACGUCUGGAGUCCUAAACCGCCCCUGACUUUCCAAUGGCAUUAGGGCGAGUAGAUAAUGACUGAAUUGUUCAUAUUUUUCAUGAACUUAUCCUUUAACACCACUAAAUUUUCCUGAUUUUGAUUUACAUGGAAGUUGUGGAUGAACAUGAAAGCUGCUGCAAGCUCUGGCAUUGUUUUAGCCAAUUUCCUCUCUGUUUUGCAAUUAGCACUCCCCUCCCUCGUCCUUAUGUCGCCACACUUUAACAACUCCUUUCUCUCUUUGUCUCUUCCUUUUUCUUCAAGCGUUUGGUAGUAUAAGCAGUCAAUUGGUGCUUACACCUACACAGGAGGAUCCUGCUCUUUUCCCCUGAGCAUUAGGGAGUUCUCUAUCCUGAGUGGAUAAAGUAGGCAGGGUUGCCGGAAAACAUCAGCAAAGAGAGGAGAGACAUGAGUUACUGACCAAACACUCUAUAGCAGUGACGACUGUUGGAAUAUAGCGAUAUGAUGCAGGACUUUGUUUUCAGUUCUAAAUUAAUGUAAGAGCGUUGAAUGGAUUUUUAAAAGCACUCGGACGACAGCAGCUAAACCUCUCGCAGCACAUGGUAUUUGUGUAACCGUCACCAUAAAUGGUAACAAAAAAGAUACAUGAGAGAAAGAAGAAACAGCUGCUCACUGAAACCCACACAAAUGUCAUUUCAAAUGUUAUUUUGUGUAAAUCUUGACUUCCUUUAUUUGUAAUCAAAUAUUUGUGUUGCUAUUAAAAAAAACUAGAAGAUUAGCCGAUAAUUACUGUCACUGUGAACUGAGAAAUACUGUGGCGUGAUCCAAAACAGAACAGAUUCACUGUUUACAUGGAAAAAUUACAGUUGAAAUCCUAAAAUACUAUCAAUAAAGAUGUCAGCAUUUGACACUAAUCAAAUUUGAUUUAGUAUGUUCUGUUUUUUGAGUUUCACCUAAUACUUGAAAUGACUUUUUCUCUCUUUAUUUGGUUUGUGCUUCUUUGAUAUCAAAUUAACUUGAUUUUUUUUCUCUAAAAAAAUUAAUAAAAUACAAAUAAAACUCAUAUUGUGUCCUUCUGUUUUUCUUCUUUCUGCUUUUCUUAUCCUGUUGCUGAGAAAAAG